Molecule: ribosomal RNA, 396 nt
Filed under: uncultured bacterium
Lineage: Bacteria
Description: partial 16S ribosomal RNA
Rfam family: Bacterial small subunit ribosomal RNA
Source: RNAcentral
CCUACGGGUGGCAGCAGUGAGGAAUAUUGGUCAAUGGGCGGGAGCCUGAACCAGCCAAGCCGCGUGAGGGAAGAAGGUACAGCGUAUCGUAAACCUCUUUUGUCAGGGGACAAAGGCGGGGACUAGUCCCCGGCUGAGGGUACCUGAAGAAAAAGCAUCGGCUAACUCCGUGCCAGCAGCCGCGGUAAUACGGAGGAUUCGAGCGUUAUCCGGAUUUAUUGGGUUUAAAGGGUGCGCAGGCGGGCGGUUAAGUCAGCGGUGAAAGGCCGGGGCUCAACCCCGGGAGUGCCUUUGAGCCUGGCGGGCUGGAGAGGGAGAGAGGUAGGCGGAAUGUGCGGUGUAGCGGUGAAAUGCUUAGAGAUCGCGCAGAACCCCGAUUGCGAAGGCAGCGUACCG